UUUGAUCAUGGCUCAAAACGAACGCUGGCGGCAGGCCUACCUUAUGCAAGUCGAACGCCCUAGCAAUAGGGAGUGGCAGACGGGUGAGUAACGCGUGGGAACGUGCCCUUCGGUUCGGAAUAACUCAGGGAAACUUGAGCUAAUACCGGAUACGUGCGAGAGCAGAAAGAUUUAUCGCCGAAGGAUCGGCCCGCGUUCGAUUAGCUAGUUGGUGAGGUAAUGGCUCACCAAGGCGACGAUCGAUAGCUGGUCUGAGAGGAUGAUCAGCCACACUGGGACUGAGACACGGCCCAGACUCCUACGGGAGGCAGCAGUGGGGAAUAUUGGACAAUGGGCGCAAGUCUGAUCCAGCCAUGCCGCGUGAGUGAUGAAGGCCCUAGGGUUGUAAAGCUCUUUCGCCAGGGACGAUAAUGACGGUACCUGGAUAAGAAGCCCCGGCUAACUUCGUG
This 449-nucleotide ribosomal RNA is filed under the name uncultured bacterium. RNAcentral's name for it is "bacterial SSU rRNA". It matches the Rfam family "Bacterial small subunit ribosomal RNA", at positions 12 to 507 of the family's 1533-position model. The record is from RNAcentral.